CCUACGGGAGGCAGUAGUGAGGAAUAUUGGUCAAUGGGCGCGAGCCUGAACCAGCCAAGUAGCGUGAAGGAUGACUGCCCUACGGGUUGUAAACUUCUGUUAUAAAGGAAUAAAGUGAGGCACGUGUGCCUUUUUGUAUGUACUUUAUGAAUAAGGAUCGGCUCACUCCGUGCCCGCAGCCGCGGUAAUACGGAGGAUCCGGGCGUUAUCCGGAUUUAUUGGUGUUAAAGGGAGCGUAGAUGGGUUGUGACGUCAAUUGUGAAAGUUUGCGGCUCAACCGUAAAAUUGCAAUUGAUACUGGCAGUCUUGAGUACAGGUGAGGUAGGCGGAAUUCGUGGUGUAGCGGUGAAAUGCUUAGAUAUCACGAAGAACUCCGAUUGCGAAGGCAGCUUACUAAACUGCCACUGACAUUGAUGCUCGAAAGUGUGGGUAUCAAACAGGAUUAGAUACCCGAGUAGUC
RNAcentral lists this ribosomal RNA (460 nucleotides) under uncultured bacterium. Its description in RNAcentral is "partial 16S ribosomal RNA". It matches the Rfam family "Bacterial small subunit ribosomal RNA", at positions 338 to 795 of the family's 1533-position model. The record is from RNAcentral.